Molecule: ribosomal RNA, 404 nt
Filed under: uncultured bacterium
Lineage: Bacteria
Description: bacterial SSU rRNA
Rfam family: Bacterial small subunit ribosomal RNA
Source: RNAcentral
AAUCAACGCUGGCGGCGUGCCUAACACAUGCAAGUCGAACGCGAAAGGGGCUUCGGCCCUGAGUAGAGUGGCGAACGGGUGAGUAACACGUGGGUGAUCUACCUCUGAGUGGGGGAUAACGUUCCGAAAGGAACGCUAAUACCGCAUGACGUUCCGGGUUUGAAGACCGGGAAACCAAAGUCGGGGACCGCAAGGCCUGACGCUUGGAGAGGAGCCCGCGCCUGAUUAGCUAGUUGGUGAGGUAACGGCNCACCAAGGCAACGAUCAGUAGCCGGCCCGAGAGGGCGGACGGCCACACUGGGACUGAGACACGGCCCAGACUCCUACGGGAGGCAGCAGUGGGGAAUUGUUCGCAAUGGGCGCAAGCCUGACGACGCAACGCCGCGUGGAGGAUGAAGGUCUUC